UGCAUCGGUAGCUCAGUUGGAUAGAGUAGCUGGCUACGAACCAGUUGGCCGCGGGUUCGAAUCCUGCCCGGUGCACCAU
RNAcentral lists this transfer RNA (79 nucleotides) under Clostridium botulinum A str. Hall. RNAcentral describes it as "tRNA-Arg". It matches the Rfam family "tRNA". From Rfam's summary of the family: Transfer RNA (tRNA) molecules are approximately 80 nucleotides in length. Their secondary structure includes four short double-helical elements and three loops (D, anti-codon, and T loops). The record is from RNAcentral. RNAcentral also lists the same sequence under 6 other names. Lineage: Bacteria; Bacillati; Bacillota; Clostridia; Eubacteriales; Clostridiaceae.